ACGUAGGGGGCGAGCGUUGUUCGGAAUUACUGGGCGUAAAGGGCAUGUAGGCGGCUCUGUAAGCCUGGCGUGAAAGUCACCGGCUCAACCGGUGGAUUGCGCUGGGAACUGCGGGGCUUGAAUCAUGGAGAGGGAGCUAGAAUUCCAGGUGUAGGGGUGAAAUCUGUAGAGAUCUGGAAGAAUACCAGUGGCGAAGGCGAGCUCCUGGCCAAUGAUUGACGCUGAGGUGCGAAAGUGUGGGGAUCAAACAG
RNAcentral lists this ribosomal RNA (251 nucleotides) under uncultured prokaryote. Its description in RNAcentral is "partial 16S rRNA". It matches the Rfam family "Bacterial small subunit ribosomal RNA", at positions 525 to 775 of the family's 1533-position model. The record is from RNAcentral.